Molecule: ribosomal RNA, 589 nt
Filed under: Mycobacterium tuberculosis
Lineage: Bacteria; Bacillati; Actinomycetota; Actinomycetes; Mycobacteriales; Mycobacteriaceae
Description: partial 23S ribosomal RNA
Rfam family: Bacterial large subunit ribosomal RNA
Source: RNAcentral
CGGGUGACCGGAUUCAGACACACUCCGAAUGCGAAUUAAUUUAACGUGGGAGUCAGGGCAGGGGCGAUAAGGUCCGUGUUCGAAAGGGAAACAGCCCAGACCACCAGCUAAGGUCCCAAAAUAUAUGUUAAGUGGAAAAGGAUGUGGCGUUGCCCAGACAACUAGGAUGUUGGCUUAGAAGCAGCCAUCAUUUAAAGAGUGCGUAAUAGCUCACUAGUCGAGUGACACUGCGCCGAAAAUGUACCGGGGCUAAACAUAUUACCGAAGCUGGGGAUUGUCCUUUGGACAAUGGUAGGAGAGCGUUCUAAGGGCGUCGAAGCCUGAUCGCAAGGACAUGUGGAGCGCUGAGAGGUGAGAAUGCCGGUGUGAGUAGCGAAAGACGGGUGAGAAUCCCGUCCACCGAUUGACUAAGGUUUCCAGAGGAAGGCUCGUCCGCUCUGGGUUAGUCGGGUCCUAAGCUGAGGCCGACAGGCGUAGGCGAUGGAUAACAGGUUGAUAUUCCUGUACCACCUAGUAUCGUUUUAAUCGAUGGGGGGACGCAGUAGGAUAGGCGAAGCGUGCUGUUGGAGUGCACGUCCAAGCAGUAAGG